AAUCCAUGAUGUGGCCAGUCUCUCAGCAUUUCCUUAAAUCUAUCCUAAGCUUCAUAGAGAGAUUUAGAGUCUGUUUGCUUGAAUCUUGCAAUAAGAUUACGGAGGUG
Molecule: small nucleolar RNA, 107 nt
Organism: Zingiber officinale
Lineage: Eukaryota; Viridiplantae; Streptophyta; Magnoliopsida; Zingiberales; Zingiberaceae
Source: RefSeq, a predicted model, not a curated record